Molecule: ribosomal RNA, 497 nt
Filed under: uncultured bacterium
Lineage: Bacteria
Description: partial 16S ribosomal RNA
Rfam family: Bacterial small subunit ribosomal RNA
Source: RNAcentral
GAUGAACGCUGGCGGCGUGCCUAAUACAUGCAAGUCGAGCGAACAGAUAAGGAGCUUGCUCCUUUGACGUUAGCGGCGGACGGGUGAGUUACACGUGGAUAACCUACCUAUAAGACUGGGAUAACUUCGGGAAACCGGAGCUAAUACCGGAUAACAUAUUGAACCGCAUGGUUCAAUAGUGAAAGGCGGCUUUGCUGUCACUUAUAGAUGGAUCCGCGCCGUAUUAGCUAGUUGGUAAGGUAACGGCUUACCAAGGCAACGAUACGUAGCCGACCUGAGAGGGUGAUCGGCCACGCUGGAACUGAGACACGGUCCAGACUCCUACGGGAGGCAGCAGUAGGGAAUCUUCCGCAAUGGGCGAAAGCCUGACGGAGCAACGCCGCGUGAGUGAUGAAGGUCUUCGGAUCGUAAAACUCUGUUAUCAGGGAAGAACAAAUGUGUAAGUAACUGUGCACAUCUUGACGGUACCUGAUCAGAAAGCCACGGCUAACUACGUG